This 3180-nucleotide long non-coding RNA is filed under the name Octopus vulgaris (common octopus). The record is from RNAcentral. Lineage: Eukaryota; Metazoa; Mollusca; Cephalopoda; Octopoda; Octopodidae.
UAUAUAUAUACAUACACACAUCUACAAAAGGUAAGAUAUAUUGUUUAGUAAAAGUAGGUGAGCAUAAGUUACUAAAAAAUGUUUGUUUAGGAUGAGAUCGAUAUUAAAUCGCGCACUGAUUGCGAGAAAUUGAUAAUUAAAUAGAUCUAAUCAAUACGAUAAAUCAAUGGCUUAUUUAUUUAUCACCAUUCUCUUAAUUACGAUCUGUGAUUGUAAAUCUACACUUUCAUUCAAUGGGCAUGUAAUAAUCCUUUCUACUAUAGACAUGUACAAGAAGAGGCCCAGUGGUUAGGGCAGCGGACUCGCGGUUUCGAUUCCCAGACCGGGCGUUGUGAGUGUUAAUUGAGCGAAAACGCCUAAAGCUCCACGAGGCUCCGGCAGGGGAUGGUGGUGAUCCCUGCUGUACUCUCUGUGUCACGCUGAAUAUCCCCGAGAACUACGUUAAGGGUGCACAUGUCUGUGGAGGGCUCAGCCACUUACACGUUAAUUUCACGAGCAGGCUGUUCCGUUGAUUCGGAUCAACCGGAACCCUCGUCGUCGUAACCGACGGAGUGCUUCCAUCCAAUAAUCCUUUCUACUAUAGACAUGUACAAGAAGAGGCCCAGUGGUUAGGGCAGCGGACUCGCGGUUUCGAUUCCCAGACCGGGCGUUGUGAGUGUUAAUUGAGCGAAAACGCCUAAAGCUCCACGAGGCUCCGGCAGGGGAUGGUGGUGAUCCCUGCUGUACUCUCUGUGUCACGCUGAAUAUCCCCGAGAACUACGUUAAGGGUGCACAUGUCAGUGGAGGGCUCAGCCACUUACACGUUAAUUUCACGAGCAGGCUGUUCCGUUGAUUCGGAUCAACCGGAACCCUCGUCGUCGUAACCGACGGAGUGCUUCCAUCCAAUAAUCCUUUCUACUAUAGACAUGUACAAGAAGAGGCCCAGUGGUUUGGGCAGCGGUUUCGAUUCCCAGACCGGGCGUUGUGAGUGCUUAUUGAGCGAAAACACCAAAAGCUCCACGAGGCUCUGGCAGGGGAUGGUGGUGAUCCCUGCUGUACUCUUUCGCCACAACUUUCUCUCACAAUUUUCUUCUGUUGGCCUGCUCGCUUAGCCAGCGGGGUGGCGUCAUUUGAAGGUUAAAAAACAAUACGAAGCGCAUUGUGACCAGCGAUGUGUUGCAACAUCUGAAAGCCUGGUCGGUCACGGUGGUCACAGUGAUAUAUCAUCAUCAUCAUCCUCGUUACCAUCAUUUAAUGAUGAUGGUGAUAUAUAUACACGCACACAUUAGAUAAGUUCAAUUAUUCCAAUACAGCAUUUACAUACUCUUUUACUUGUUUCAGUCAUUUUGACUGCGGCCAUGCUGGAACACCGCCUUUAAUCGAGCAACUCGACCCCGGGACUUAUUCUUUGCCGAACCCUCUGUGACGGGGACAUAAACACACCAGCAUCGGCUGUCAAGCAAUGCUAGGGGGACAAACACACACACACGCAUAUAUAUAUAUAUAUAUACGACGGGCUUCUUUCAGUUUCCGUCUACCAAAUCCACUCACAAGGCUUUGGUUGGCCCAAGGCUAUAGUAGAAGACACUUGCCCAAGGUGCCACACAGUGGUACUGAACUCGGAACCAUGUGGUUAGUAAACAAGCUACUUACCACACAGCCACUCCUGUGCCUAUAAUAAAAUGUAAAAAUUUCAACUGUCGUAUCUCUACAUUCUAAAUAUCCUCCACAUCUUACAAUUCGUGUUUCUUAUUUUCAGAAUAUCAGAAACAGCCGAGAGUUGUUUACAUCAUGUACAUCAACAAUAUUCAUUAUCUUUGUAAAAUGCUACACAGAAUUAAUACAAUCCUGUUUAAAUAAAUCUAUGGUAGAAUACCUGAUAUAUAAUAUUUAUCUUCUUUCCAAGGUUAAAUGGACAGAGUUGCCGAAGCAUGGAACAAACUGCCGGCAUCAGUUGUUAGUUGUCAGAGCACUGCAUCCUUCAAAACUUCCAUGCUUCCUGAGAUUUGCCAACACUACACCUGAUUUUCUCCCCUCCAUACACACACAAGCAUGUAUCUGACUCAUACACUGUUCACUUCCCAGGCAUUUGUACAUUACUGCAUAUACUUUAUAUGCACUUUCUGACAAGCUGAGGUGCACCUGAGCACUGUAUACAAUAAUUUCAUUAUUAUUAUUAUUAUUAUUAGAGGACUUCACUGAAGAAGGUUAUGCUUUUAAGUUGGUGGGAUGUGAAUGGUGUUGUUUUUAACAAAUUUUUCCCCAUGGGCAGCACCAUCAGUUUGGAUGUGUACUGUAAUUAGCCUGACAAAUUAAACACAGCAGUUCACCAGGAUCAUCCAGUACUUGCUAAACAUUAGGCAAUACUAGACUACACAUUUCUUUGCAGAAGUUACUGGGGUUUGGCUGGGAUGUUUUGCUGCACCCCCUCCCAUAUUCGCCCAACCUUGCACCUCCAGAUUUCCACCUGUUUCAGUCUCUUCAAACAUCAUUGAAAUUAUUGAUCCAUCAUUACAGUAUUUAUUUUGUGAUGCUAUACACACACCUUUUCAGAAUAGGAAAAGAAAUACUUUGGUUAAGUUUAAUUAUUGUACUAAAGUGUUUACAUCUAAAAUUUUUAUAAAAAAUGUACAAUUUUGACUGGUGUAUCUCUACAUUGUAAAUAUUUCUCAUAUCUUACGUUCUUGUUUCUUUUUUAUUUCAGGAUAUCAGAAACAACGAAGAAACAUCUAUUUCAAUAUACAUCAUCAAUAGAUGUCAUCUUUUCAAGUCUAAAUGGAAAUAUUACACAGAACAGAUAUAAUACUGUUUAUAUAAAGCAAAGCUGAACUACAGAUAAAUAUUUCUCUGGAACUGUUAUGUCACACCAACUUUUGUUUACUUCACUGCUUUGAUUCUUUCCCCAGUGAUCUUGCAUUCUACUUUCACUUUCCCACUGUGUAAGAUGAGUCUACAUGGUUAUUAAACUUGGAAGAAUUUACAAAGAAAUUUGCAGCAUCUUCAGAUAUCAUAAUGUUUCAUGGAAAUAAUUAUUAUUAGUAAUAAUUAUUAGGAAUUAAAUAUAAAAACACAAAGAGUAACGGGUGUAUAUGGUAGAAAGGAAAGAAGAAUUAUGGAAAUUGAUGUGUAAGAUGAUUUUACAUGGUUAUUGAACUUGGAAGAAUUUACAAAGAAAUUUGCAGCAUUUUCUGAUUACACUUG